UAAAAAAAACAUAUAAUGGGUUUCCAUAGUUGAUUUCCAGUCUACAUUGCCCAGUUUGUUGAUUACCUAAGGGCUCAACCCCUGUUUGAUUUCGAAGUUUUCUUUACUGGAUGGUUUGCUGUCCACAUCUAUAGGACCUCAUCUGCCCGGGGUUCGAACUCGUUAAUUUCGGGUUAGCAGGCACAAGCCACAAUCUCUCACACAUGACCACCUGGGAUGAUGUAAUGUAAAGUGAGAUGGACAAUAAGACGGAUGAUCGGAUUUAUGGAUGUGUACAUGGAAGGAUGGAGCGAUGAAAAAACUCAGAUGAAGCAGACGGCGAAGAGCGUGGCUAGAAGCAGAAACCCGCCUACACAG
Molecule: long non-coding RNA, 357 nt
Organism: Physella acuta
Lineage: Eukaryota; Metazoa; Mollusca; Gastropoda; Physidae
Source: RefSeq, a predicted model, not a curated record